CUCCGUGCCAGCAGCCGCGGUAAUACGGAGGAUGCGAGCGUUAUUCGGAAUCAUCGGGUCUAAAGGGUCUGUAGGCGGGCUAUUAAGUCAGGGGUGAAAGGUUUCAGCUUAACUGAGAAAUUGCCUUUGAUACUGGUAGUCUUGAAUAUCUGUGAAGUUCUUGGAAUGUGUAGUGUAGCGGUGAAAUGCUUAGAUAUUACACAGAACACCGAUUGCGGAGGCAGGGGACUAACAGACGAUUGACGCUGAGAGACGAAAGCGUGGGGAGCGAACAGGAUUAGAUACCCUGGUAGUCCACGCUGUAAACGAUGGAUACUAGCUGUUUGGAGUAAUUUGAGUGGCUAAGCGAAAGUGAUAAGUAUCCCACCUGGGGAGUACGCACGCAAGUGUGAAACUCAAAGGAAUUGACGGGGGCCCGCACAAG
This 424-nucleotide ribosomal RNA is filed under the name uncultured bacterium. RNAcentral describes it as "bacterial SSU rRNA". It matches the Rfam family "Bacterial small subunit ribosomal RNA", at positions 501 to 929 of the family's 1533-position model. The record is from RNAcentral.